GCCCAGACAGCCAGGAUGUUGGCUUAGAAGCAGCCAUCAUUUAAAGAAAGCGUAAUAGCUCACUGGUCGAGUCGGCCUGCGCGGAAGAUGUAACGGGGCUAAACCAUGCACCGAAGCUGCGGCAGCGACGCUUAUGCGUUGUUGGGUAGGGGAGCGUUCUGUAAGCCUGCGAAGGUGGCCUGUGAGGGUUGCUGGAGGUAUCAGAAGUGCGAAUGCUGACAUAAGUAACGAUAAAGCGGGUGAAAAGCCCGCUCGCCGGAAGACCAAGGGUUCCUGUCCAACGUUAAUCGGGGCAGGGUGAGUCGACCCCUAAGGCGAGGCCGAAAGGCGUAGUCGAUGGGAAACGGGUUAAUAUUCCCGUACUUGGUGUUACUGCGAAGGGGGGACGGAGAAGGCUAUGUUGGCCGGGCGACGGUUGUCCCGGUUUAAGCGUGUAGGUGUGUGUUCCAGGUAAAUCCGGUUCACUUUAACACUGAGGCGUGACGACGAGGCACUACGGUGCUGAAGCAACAAAUGCCCUGCUUCCAGGAAAAGCCUCUAAGCAUCAGGUAACAUCAAAUCGUACCCCAAACCGACACAGGUGGUCAGGUAGAGAAUACCAAGGCGCUUGAGAGAACUCGGGUGAAGGAACUAGGCAAAAUGGUGCCGUAACUUCGGGAGAAGGCACGCUGACACGUAGGUGAAGUGAUUUACUCAUGGAGCUGAAGUCAGUCGAAGAUACCAGCUGGCUGCAACUGUUUAUUAAAAACACAGCACUGUGCAAACACGAAAGUGGACGUAUACGGUGUGACGCCUGCCCGGUGCCGGAAGGUUAAUUGAUGGGGUCAGCGCAAGCGAAGCUCCUGAUCGAAGCCCCGGUAAACGGCGGCCGUAACUAUAACGGUCCUAAGGUAGCGAAAUUCCUUGUCGGGUAAGUUCCGACCUGCACGAAUGGCGUAAUGAUGGCCAGGCUGUCUCCACCCGAGACUCAGUGAAAUUGAACUCGCUGUGAAGAUGCAGUGUACCCGCGGCAAGACGGAAAGACCCCGUGAACCUUUACUAUAGCUUGACACUGAACAUUGAGCCUUGAUGUGUAGGAUAGGUGGGAGGCUUUGAAGUGUGGACGCCAGUCUGCAUGGAGCCGACCUUGAAAUACCACCCUUUAAUGUUUGAUGUUCUAACGUGGACCCGUUACCCGGGUUGCGGACAGUGUCUGGUGGGUAGUUUGACUGGGGCGGUCUCCUCCUAAAGAGUAACGGAGGAGCACGAAGGUUGGCUAAUCCUGGUCGGACAUCAGGAGGUUAGUGCAAUGGCAUAAGCCAGCUUGACUGCGAGCGUGACGGCGCGAGCAGGUGCGAAAGCAGGUCAUAGUGAUCCGGUGGUUCUGAAUGGAAGGGCCAUCGCUCAACGGAUAAAAGGUACUCCGGGGAUAACAGGCUGAUACCGCCCAAGAGUUCAUAUCGACGGCGGUGUUUGGCACCUCGAUGUCGGCUCAUCACAUCCUGGGGCUGAAGUAGGUCCCAAGGGUAUGGCUGUUCGCCAUUUAAAGUGGUACGCGAGCUGGGUUUAGAACGUCGUGAGACAGUUCGGUCCCUAUCUGCCGUGGGCGCUGGAGAACUGAGGGGGGCUGCUCCUAGUACGAGAGGACCGGAGUGGACGCAUCACUGGUGUUCGGGUUGUCAUGCCAAUGGCACUGCCCGGUAGCUAAAUGCGGAAGAGAUAAGUGCUGAAAGCAUCUAAGCACGAAACUUGCCCCGAG
Molecule: ribosomal RNA, 1738 nt
Filed under: Salmonella enterica
Lineage: Bacteria; Pseudomonadati; Pseudomonadota; Gammaproteobacteria; Enterobacterales; Enterobacteriaceae
Description: partial 23S ribosomal RNA
Rfam family: Bacterial large subunit ribosomal RNA
Source: RNAcentral